UGAUGAGUAGGGCGGGACACGUGGUAUCCUGUCUGAAUAUGGGGGGACCAUCCUCCAAGGCUAAAUACUCCUGACUGACCGAUAGUGAACCAGUACCGUGAGGGAAAGGCGAAAAGAACCCCGGCGAGGGGAGUGAAAAAGAACCUGAAACCGUGUACGUACAAGCAGUGGGAGCACGCUUAGGCGUGUGACUGCGUACCUUUUGUAUAAUGGGUCAGCGACUUAUAUUCUGUAGCAAGGUUAACCGAAUAGGGGAGCCGAAGGGAAACCGAGUCUUAACUGGGCGUUAAGUUGCAGGGUAUAGACCCGAAACCCGGUGAUCUAGCCAUGGGCAGGUUGAAGGUUGGGUAACACUAACUGGAGGACCGAACCGACUAAUGUUGAAAAAUUAGCGGAUGACUUGUGGCUGGGGGUGAAAGGCCAAUCAAACCGGGAGAUAGCUGGUUCUCCCCGAAAGCUAUUUAGGUAGCGCCUCG
RNAcentral lists this ribosomal RNA (476 nucleotides) under Shigella sonnei. Its description in RNAcentral is "partial 23S ribosomal RNA". It matches the Rfam family "Bacterial large subunit ribosomal RNA", at positions 406 to 884 of the family's 2925-position model. The record is from RNAcentral. Lineage: Bacteria; Pseudomonadati; Pseudomonadota; Gammaproteobacteria; Enterobacterales; Enterobacteriaceae.